Non-coding RNA from Podarcis lilfordi (Lilford's wall lizard), 66 nucleotides. Lineage: Eukaryota; Metazoa; Chordata; Lepidosauria; Squamata; Lacertidae. The record is from the annotation of a GenBank genome assembly.
GAUGGCUCAGUAGGUACAGCAUGAGACUUUUAAUCUCAGGGUUGUGGGUUGGAGUCCCACGUUGCA